Molecule: long non-coding RNA, 5060 nt
Organism: Terrapene triunguis (Three-toed box turtle)
Lineage: Eukaryota; Metazoa; Chordata; Testudines; Emydidae
Exons: 2
Source: RefSeq, a predicted model, not a curated record
AAGGCCUUGUUAAUAUUGUUAGCACAAGGUUUAAAUCCCAUGGGGAACAGGUUCUUGUACUAGAGGGUAUCAUCUAUCCAACCGUUUUAGAAAUCUGAUAGUUGUGGGGGUGGGAGAAAAAGUGAUCUACUACCCUCCAGUGGGUAGUAGCGCUGAAAUCGUUGCCACAUGUACUUCAGUAGAACUAACAGUCAGGCCUUGCUGUUUUAGGUGCAACAGAUAAUCCAAUCUGGUUAAUGGGAGCCUGCACUGGAGAGACACUUCUCUGUUGAGACCAGGACUCUGGGUACUAAUGGAAUCGGAGGAAAGGCAAACAGCCGUGAGUUCAUCCGUGAUAGCUGAAAAGCAUCUGUCAAAGACCCAGGUCUGGAAUUCUCUCAGCAGCAGAACAGGAGGCAUUUGUUGCAAACAGGUCCAUGUGAGAAGUUUCCCCAGAGCUGGAAGAUGAGCCUAGCCACAUCUGGACCUAGUGACCAUUCAUGGUGAGGGGACAAAGACCUGCUCAGCUGAUCUACUGAUGUGUUCUGCUCUCCUGGGAGGUAUCCUUCUGGCACAGUUGGGAGGAACAUGCCCUUCCCUGUCUGUUUACAUAAAGCAUAGUUGCUAUAUUGUCCUUUAACACUAACAGAUUUUUUUCCCAGAAUAUAUGGCUAGAAGGCAGAGCAGGAUAGAUGGAUAGCACAUAGUUCCCUGACAUUAAUAUGAGUCCUCAGCUCCUGCAAGGACCACUACCCUUGAGUUUGUAGGGUUCCGAUAGGUGCCCCCCAACCCAGGGACGAGGCAUCCGUGACCCACAUAAGCGUUGGUUGCAGAGAAAUGAAGGGCACUCCCAUACAAACAGUCUGAGGGUCUGUCCACCAGUCCAGAGAGGACAAAAUUACCUCUGCAAUGCAAAUUUCUCUGUCUAGACGAUGACAACAGGGGGCAUCCUUGAAGCUUCCUGAGGCAUAAUCAGGUGUGUUACGUCAUGUGGGUACAUGCUGCCAUGUUCCCCAGAAGUCUGAGGCAAGCAUGCACUGUAGUAAUGGGAUGUGCUUUUAGAUCCAGUACCAGAUCUCAGAGCAGUUGGAACCUUGACGGGGGCAGAAAUGCUCUGGUUUGUAUAGCAUCCAGGAGUGCUCUGAUAAACUAUUCUUUGCACAGGUUUUUAGAAUUGAUCUGACUUGACAGAGUAAUAGACGCAGUACAUUGAGGGUGGACUGAAUGAUACCCACACUGGAUAGCACUUGAGAGUUCAGCCAGUCUGUCACCAACCAAUCAUCCAGGUGGGAAGUGCACGGAUUCCCAAUCCUCUCAGAUAUACAACUACCUUACCUUGCACAUUGUGAAAACUCAAGGGGCUGCUGCUGACAGACCAAAUUGAAGUAGUGUAAAUUGGUAAUGUGUUUCAUUUGCUAGGAACAUGAUGAACUUCCAGUGGUCUAGACAGAUCACUAUAUGGAAGUAAGUGUCUUUUAAGUCAAGGGCAGCAUACCAGUGGCCCUGUUCAGGGAAGGAAUGAUGGUAGCUAGGGUAACCAUGGGGAUCUUCAUUUUCUUCAGGUACUUGUUUAACUCCCUUAGAUCUAAAAUACCCCCUUUUGUUUUGGGAAUUAAGGAAAUAGCAGGAAUAAAAACUGUUCCCCCUGAGGAGUAGAGGAACUUCCUCUACUGCACCCACUGGAAGGAGAGAUUAAACCUGUUGUAAAACGGUCUCCUGAGAGUGGUCCUUGAAGAGGGAUGGAGAAGGGGGAGGAUAGAAACAAAUUGAGGUCAAUAUCCCACAUCCACCAUGCUUAGGACCCACCGAACUGAUGUGACAUGAGUCUAAGCACAGAGGAAGUCGUAAAGACAAUAGGCCAAGGUAAGGGUAGGAACAGAUUCAUCUGUAAGUAUUGAUACGCUGCCUUUGACAAGCCUGUCAAAAAUGCAUGUUUAGACUGGGCCAUUGGUUGAGAGGAAUCUGCUGUCGCAGAUGAGAGAGGCGGUGGUCAAUUUCUAUAAUUCCUGUCCCUUUUUUUUUUGGCAGGUCUUGGGGCUGAGGUAUAAAGCUCUGAUAUCUGUGAGCCUUCUGGGGCCAGAAUUGCUUCCUCUUCAUUGCCAGUGUAUAAAUUCCAAGGGACUUCAGUAUUGCCCUGGAAUCUUGUAAGCUAUGCCAUCUAUUGUCCAUCGUUUCUGAAAAGAGGGAUGGACCCUCAAAUGGCAAAUCCUAGAUGGUCUGCUGUACUUCAGGAGGGAGACCAGAAGAUUGCAGCCAUGAACUUCUCCUCUUAGAAAUAGCAGAUGUCAUGGAACAAGCUACUGAGUCUGCAGCAUCCUAACUGUUGUGAAUAGCUGUCCUUGCACCCCCGCUUACCCUCCUCUACCAUGAGUGAGAACCUGCCUGGAAUCCUCUGGUAGCCUGUCUUUAAACUUCAGGAUGUUUUCUCAUAGGGUAAAAUCAUAGCAAUUUAGGAGGGCUAGCUGGUUAACAAUUCUUGGCUGCAGACCUUCUGUUGAAUAAGUUUAUGACCAAACAGGUCCAGCCUCUCUGAUUUCUUACUCUUUGGCGUCAAUGCUUGGUGACCCUGACUCUCCUGCUCAUGAGCUGCUGCCACCACCAAAGGGCCUGGGGGUGUGUGAGAGUAGAGGGGUUUGAAGCCCUUAGAAGGGACACAGUAGCUCCUCUGUGCAUAUUUCGCUGUAGGCGGGAGGGAAGAAGGGGUCUGUGAAAGUGUUUUAACCAGUUCCAGAAUUGCUUCAUUACCUCAGAAGUACCACUCUGGCAGGUCUCACAGAAGCUAAAGUAUCCACUAGCAUGGGGGAUUUGUCACAGACCGAUUCCACUUGAAUGUCUAAAACCAAGGCCACCCUUUUAAGCCGUUCUUGGUGAGUAUUGUAAUGCCCUGGUGAUGGAGAAUUGCUCACCAUCUCUACAGCCUCAUCAGGUGAUAAGGAAAUGACACACCAGGAUGCUGAGGCAAUGGCUGGUUUGCCACUUGCGGUGUAGGAACUGCCUGAGCAACUUCUAGUUGCUCAGUACCAGGCAUCAGAGAAAGUUUCCUGUGAUGCCAGUGAUCUUGGUGCAUCCUUGAGGAAAUAGACUCAGGUGAGGAAAGGUCCUAGCAGAGGGAGGGACACCCCUCGGUGGCCAGACCUGGUGACGGUGGGCCCCAUGGUUGUGCAUGCCAUUGUCCCUUGUGACAUGUCCGCUGCGGGGACGUCCAGGGCUCUGAUGGAAGGUAAAGUUCUUGUCUGGUAUGAGACACAAAAGACUCCACUUCCAAGUCCAACAAAGAUGACUGAGUCCUACGGUAAUGGAGGAGCAGAACCCAUGUGGACAGGAGACAGGUAAGUGAACCCAGAGACAGCAGUGCCGGGGAUAUUAACAACCGCUUGACCCUGGAGUGCACUGGCCUCCGAGGCACCAGGAGCAGCAUCAGUAAUCCAUGCUCUUGCGGAGCUGGCAUAGGCACUACAGACACUGGUACUGGCUGGAACCCUUCCUGCAUCACCAGGGACAUUGGUAUUGAGAGGUUAAGUAAUUCUCUGGCGACAGUAUAUGCUUCUGGCAUUGCUGGUAUCAGGAUUGGGUCUGACAAAUAGAAACUUCAGGGGCUGGCCUUGGCAGACAUGGCACAGGUUCUGGAGUAGACACACCCCCUAUUGCAGCAGAGGCGUACUGUGGGGAACGCUUCUCCUCAGAAUCCCUCCCAGAGAUCUUGCUUUUAUCUGGCCUCUGUUAUGAAGAUCUUGCUGGACGAAGUACUGUGUCCUUGGCAGAUCUGUCUCCUCUUCAGUACCAGAGACAGAAUGUGGUGCCAAAGACCUCUCAGGAAGCACACGUUGCAUCAAUAGUGCCGCACUUGGAGUGCGCUCUAAACCCAACGACUCCCAGGGAGGGCAAAGUGCCACCUCCAUAAGGUGACAAAUCUCACUGUUCUGUCUCUUUUUGAGCAAGGCUUAAAUCAUCUGCAAAUGUGACACUUGUCACUGAUGUGGGACUCCCCCAGACAUCUUAGGCAGCUGGGAUGUGGGUCACAGACCAGCAUCGGUCUGGCACACGACCAGCAGGACUUGAACUCCAGCGAGCGAGACACAGCUCCAGUCCCAGUAUCAAAUAAUCAGACUUGGUCCAAAAGGGACCCAAACAACUAAAACCUAAUAUUAACGCUACGCUAUAUCUAAUUAACUACUAAGUACUAAAUGAGAAACAAACUAUAUACAAAAAGGGCGAGGAAAAUAAACUUGCCAUCGUAAUACUGGAUGGAAGCGCUCCAACAACCAUCACUGGCGAUAAGAAGGAACUGAGGGGGUCAGGGGCGGCUCCGCCCUCUUAUACUGGCACAUGGUGAUGCACAGAUGUAGCGGGCACUUGAGCUGCCCCAACAGGUACCACUGCGGGGAAAAGUUCUCCAAUAACUGUGCAUGAGGCGCACACUCACGUACAGUGAAUGGACAUGUGCAAUCACUCAGAGAACCCCUUUGUUGUAUUCAGAGUUGCACAUAGUUGCUUAACUAAAGAAAGAUUUUAAUGGGAUUUACUCGUUAGCUCUGCUAAGUCACUUUUCAGUGCCCAUCCAUCUAGAUUCUUGUACUGUGCCCAUCACAAUAGUAUCCAAGCUUUAUGUGGUGAUUAGGCAUUUAUAAGAUGCCUCUAAAACAUUGUCAUAGAUAUCUGACUCUUGAGUGAGCUGAAUUCUAGUUGAGGUGAAGAGUCAUCAACACAAUAGUUAAAAAUACUGCAACUGGAACUCGAUUAUGGUUGAUGAUGCACAAGCCAACAAGAACUCGUCUGACUUCCACAUCCCACUGCAGUCUGCAGUGCUAGCAUCUGCUUAGUUUACAAGCUGGAUUUCAUUUUUCAGGCUCACUGUGUAUAGAUACAUGCUCAGAUAGUAUAGUGCCUUAUAAGAGGCUAGCUAGGUAGGCAUGAGAGAAUCAUGGAAUCCCAUGAAGCUCUAUUUUUGGUCACCUUUCAGACUAUAGCCACAAGUUAAGUAAAUACCAUUCUGAUUUGAUACACCUUGAACUAUUGACUUGUAUGUAAUUUUCGCACUUAGAAAUUCAAAUAAAAGACUAAUUUCUUUUAAUGGCAUUUUA